Molecule: long non-coding RNA, 1270 nt
Organism: Oryzias melastigma (Indian medaka)
Lineage: Eukaryota; Metazoa; Chordata; Actinopteri; Beloniformes; Adrianichthyidae
Exons: 2
Source: RefSeq, a predicted model, not a curated record
GUUAAGUGUCUCCCAUAAAUGUCACAGCUCAGAAACACAAAACAAUCCCUCUUUGACAUCCAGAAGUGGGAUCCUUUACGAAGACAUUAAAAUGCUUCCCCCACAACCCUGAAGUCACCUGGGAAGCACAAGGAGGUAAAGUACCUAAAGCAGCAACAUCAGACAAGGACAGAGAAACGGCACUGUGGAUAAAGUAUGGAGCCAACUGUAACAGACCUGACAAAUAUUCCUCAAGCCCUCAAAGAGCAUCAGAGAGCACAGCAGGCUUUGUGGGAUAAAGAGAUUGCAGGGCAAAACCAGAGAUUUGAGGUUUUUCAACAUCAGUUUUUUGUUCAGUCAUGCACAGUUGGUCCUCCAGCCACCUCAUCACAAAGACAUUAACAAAUAGAUCAUUAGGAAUAUUUUCUUUGUGUGGACAGCACAGUGUUGUGAUCUGCACUUUGCAUCCCACUGCUUGAUCCUGUAGCCUGCGUUUUUUUAAACUAAACAGAGAUAAAUUUCCAAUGUCAGGUCUUUUUUUAAAAUUCCAAACAAAUGUGUUAAAGGUCAGAGUAAAACAAUCCUCUAACUAAUGAGGACAUUCACACUGAGACACAGCGGUGGGACAUCUUGACCUCUUCUCGUUUUUUUUUUUUUUAACUUCUCCCAGCUGGUUGACUAAUUUGUUUUACAUUUUAAUUAACUCUAAGAAACAGGUCACCUAGCAACACAAAUGAAAGUUAAAAAUUUCAUUUGUCUUAAAUGCUAAUUUUCAUUUUUUUGCAAACGUUGUUCUCAUGUCUCAUAUGGGCUUUACAUUGGAAAAGUGCUGAAUUAAGGAAUUAAAGUGGAUUGUGAAUGUGCUUCUUGAAGUUCCCAAAUGGUGAGUUGAGGGUGGGGACACUUUAAAAAAAAUAAAUAAAUAAAUGUUAUAUAGCUCAUUUCCAUAACAAGAUGCAGUGGAGGGCAGGCCUGCUUAUUUCAGGAAAUGUCCCCAUAGGUUUGGGUUCAGUUCAUGCUAAAAUUGUGCAUGCUUGUGUGGAUGUUUUGUCCUUGUGUCAAAAAACAGGAGUAAUUCUCCUGCACUCAUUAGAAGGAAAUUAAAGGUUGCAAAUUGCUGCACAUGUAGGUCAUGGGAGGUCAAACAAUGAGCUAGCAUGUUCAUGGGAAAGCCAUAAAAAUUGAUUGGAAACUUACGACUGUCCUUGAGCCUCCCCAAUAACACCAUGCCUAGAUUUAAAAGUUGACGAUCAGCUUAAAGAAUAUAGAGCACAAAAAUAAAAAAUAAAAA